RNAcentral lists this ribosomal RNA (555 nucleotides) under uncultured Pseudomonadota bacterium. RNAcentral's name for it is "bacterial SSU rRNA". It matches the Rfam family "Bacterial small subunit ribosomal RNA", at positions 156 to 706 of the family's 1533-position model. The record is from RNAcentral. Lineage: Bacteria; Pseudomonadati; Pseudomonadota.
ACGGUAGCUAAUACCGCAUAAUGUCGCAAGACCAAAGAGGGGGACCUUCGGGCCUCUUGCCAUCGGAUGUGCCCAGAUGGGAUUAGCUUGUUGGUGGGGUAACGGCUCACCAAGGCGACGAUCCCUAGCUGGUCUGAGAGGAUGACCAGCCACACUGGAACUGAGACACGGUCCAGACUCCUACGGGAGGCAGCAGUGGGGAAUACUGCACAAUGGGCGCAAGCCUGAUGCAGCCAUGCCGCGUGUAUGAAGAAGGCCUUCGGGUUGUAAAGUACUUUCAGCGGGGAGGAAGGGAGUAAAGUUAAUACCUUUGCUCAUUGACGUUACCCGCAGAAGAAGCACCGGCUAACUCCGUGCCAGCAGCCGCGGUAAUACGGAGGGUGCAAGCGUUAAUCGGAAUUACUGGGCGUAAAGCGCACGCAGGCGGUUUGUUAAGUCAGAUGUGAAAUCCCCGGGCUCAACCUGGGAACUGCAUCUGAUACUGGCAAGCUUGAGUCUCGUAGAGGGGGGUAGAAUUCCAGGUGUAGCGGUGAAAUGCGUAGAGAUCUGGAGGAA